This 468-nucleotide ribosomal RNA is filed under the name uncultured bacterium. RNAcentral describes it as "partial 16S ribosomal RNA". It matches the Rfam family "Bacterial small subunit ribosomal RNA", at positions 28 to 507 of the family's 1533-position model. The record is from RNAcentral.
GACGAACGCUGGCGGCGUGCUUAACACAUGCAAGUCGAACGGAAAGGCCCUGCUUUUGUGGGGUGCUCGAGUGGCGAACGGGUGAGUAACACGGGAGUAACCUGCCCUUGACUUUGGGAUAACUUCAGGAAACUGGGGCUAAUACCGGAUAGGAGCUCCUGCUGCAUGGUGGGGGUUGGAAAGUUUCGGCGGUUGGGGAUGGGCUCGCGGCUUAUCAGCUUGUGGGGGGGGUAGUGGCUUACCAAGGCUUUGACGGGUAGCCGGCCUGAGAGGGUGACCGGCCACAUUGGGACUGAGAUACGGCCCAGACUCCUACGGGAGGCAGCAGUGGGGAAUAUUGCACAAUGGGCGGAAGCCUGAUGCAGCAACGCCGCGUGCGGGAUGACGGCCUUCGGGUUGUAAACCGCUUUCGCCUGUGACGAAGCGUGAGUGACGGUAAUGGGUAAAGAAGCACCGGCUAACUACGUG